This is a long non-coding RNA of Bubalus bubalis (water buffalo), 297 nucleotides long. RefSeq lists it as uncharacterized. The record is from RefSeq and is a predicted model, not a curated record. The transcript is spliced from 3 exons. Lineage: Eukaryota; Metazoa; Chordata; Mammalia; Artiodactyla; Bovidae.
UGGUAGUGAUGCUUCCUAGACCCACUUGACUUCACAUUCCAGGAUGUCUGGCUCUAGGCAAGACAAGGCUCAGCAAGUAGAAGGAAGGGAAGAAGCAAACUUUUUAGGAAGAUAUUCAACCUAUAGAGAAGAUAGAAAACAGAAGAGCAGUGGGUCUCUGGAUUUUAAUGACCUUUCUCCUUUUUAAGAAAUUUUGGCUGCGAUCCAAAAGUCUACAAGUAAUAAAUGCUGGAGAGGGUGUGGAGAAAAGGGAACCCUCUUACACUGUUGGUGGGAAUGCAAACUAGUACAGCCACU